GCCCCGAUGGUGAAAUCGGUAGACACCCGCGACUUAAAAUCGCGUGCUGAAAGGCGUGUGGGUUCGAGUCCCGCUCGGGGCACCA
RNAcentral lists this transfer RNA (85 nucleotides) under Roseateles sp. RNAcentral describes it as "tRNA-Leu". It matches the Rfam family "tRNA". Rfam says of the family: Transfer RNA (tRNA) molecules are approximately 80 nucleotides in length. Their secondary structure includes four short double-helical elements and three loops (D, anti-codon, and T loops). The record is from RNAcentral. Lineage: Bacteria; Pseudomonadati; Pseudomonadota; Betaproteobacteria; Burkholderiales; Sphaerotilaceae.